UACAGAGGUCCCGAGCGUUGUUCGGAUUCACUGGGCGUAAAGGGUGUGUAGGAGGCUUGGUAAGUCAGGUGUGAAAUCCCGCAGCUCAACUGCGGAACUGCAUUCGAUACUGCCGAGCUAGAGGAUCGGAGGGGGAAGCGGAAUUCUUGGUGUAGCGGUGAAAUGCGUAGAUAUCAAGAGGAACACCGGUGGCGAAGGCGGCUUCCUGGAAGAUACCUGACUCUGAAACACGAAAGCUAGGGGAGCGAAUGGG
This 253-nucleotide ribosomal RNA is filed under the name uncultured bacterium. Its description in RNAcentral is "partial 16S ribosomal RNA". It matches the Rfam family "Bacterial small subunit ribosomal RNA", at positions 524 to 776 of the family's 1533-position model. The record is from RNAcentral.